Long non-coding RNA from Engraulis encrasicolus (European anchovy), 581 nucleotides. RefSeq lists it as uncharacterized. The transcript has 3 exons. The record is from RefSeq and is a predicted model, not a curated record. Lineage: Eukaryota; Metazoa; Chordata; Actinopteri; Clupeiformes; Engraulidae.
CACCAAGGGUACUCAGUUGUCAGCAAAGACUUUACGAGGUUAUCGUGUGAAAAGCAGAGAAAUUCAAACACCAUGCGCAGCUGCCACUGAAACGACUUGGGAAGCCCUGACCUCCACACCCAUCAAGUCACGGCCAGCCAAAAGACCACGCUUGGCUGUGGAGGAGGAUGACGAUGAACUGCUAGAUGAAGGGGAAGACUCCUCAUUAGUCGCUGAACCACAUGACUCCACAUAUGUGCCCGACCAAGACACAAUGUCAGACUUGGAGUCAUCGCAUAUUUCUGACACCAGCCACAGUCACACAGAUGUUAAGUACAUUGUGAGCGAGAAGUGCCUUUUGGAGAUCUUCGAAAAGUGCCCCCUUUGCAAAACAAAAAGCGAUGUCACACCGCACAGACGAGGCACCUUCUUGACUGUACAGCAAAAAUGUGGCCGGUGUGGGUACUACCGGGAAUGGAGCAGUCAGCCAGUGACAGGGACCUGUCCAACAACAAAUUUACAACUCUCUGCAGCCAUUUACUUCACCGGCACAUCAUUUUUCCAGCUGAACAAGGUAUGGGAUCACACUUAGCACCAUCACA